AUUGAACGCUGGCGGCAUGCUUUACACAUGCAAGUCGAACGGCAGCGGGGGCUUCGGCCUGCCGGCGAGUGGCGAACGGGUGAGUAAUGCAUCGGAACGUGCCCAUGUCGUGGGGGAUAACGUAGCGAAAGCUACGCUAAUACCGCAUACGUCCUGAGGGAGAAAAGCGGGGGAUCUUUGGACCUCGCGCGAUUGGAGCGGCCGAUGUCGGAUUAGCUAGUAGGUGAGGUAAAGGCUCACCUAGGCGACGAUCCGUAGCGGGUCUGAGAGGAUGAUCCGCCACACUGGAACUGAGACACGGUCCAGACUCCUACGGGAGGCAGCAGUGGGGAAUUUUGGACAAUGGCGGCAG
This 352-nucleotide ribosomal RNA is filed under the name uncultured bacterium. RNAcentral's name for it is "bacterial SSU rRNA". It matches the Rfam family "Bacterial small subunit ribosomal RNA", at positions 30 to 380 of the family's 1533-position model. The record is from RNAcentral.